Molecule: long non-coding RNA, 1106 nt
Organism: Pectinophora gossypiella (pink bollworm)
Lineage: Eukaryota; Metazoa; Arthropoda; Insecta; Lepidoptera; Gelechiidae
Exons: 2
Source: RefSeq, a predicted model, not a curated record
UUUUAAUAUAAUGUUUACACUAAAAAGUAUUUAUUUUCUAGUAGAAGCAAUUUCUUACAGAGAAUUUACUUGUAUUCAUUAACCUUCAAACGCCCUGAACAUUUUGAAUUCCACAAAUAAUUGAAAUAAUAAAAUAUUUUUUAACUUUGUAAACAUUUUACGUUUAAUAGAACUUAAUGGAGUAAUACAAACAAUAAAUUAUUAUUAGUUUUAUAAUACUUGUAUGCCUACUUAUUGAGGGACUUUUCAGGCUGCAUUCCUCAAAAACAUUACAGAUGGCGCUGUACAGAUUUUCCUUCGUUUAACCUUCUAAUUUCAUGGAUAACAGACAUGCAUUAUCUUUGCUUUUGAGUAUAAAUGAUGACCCUUUUUUAUUACACCCAGCCACAAUUACAUCUUCCACCCAUUAUUAUUCUGAUCAAAAUAAAGAGAAGCAAUAUAGGUAGCAACGUAAUUCUAUACAUACAUAAACUGCCUAUAUACGUCCCACUGCUGGGCACAGGCCUCCCCUCAAUCAACCGGAGGGGGUAUGGAGCAUACUCCACCACGCUGCUCCACUGCGGGUUGGUGGAGCCAUUUGGGCUAGUAGCCGCGACCAAUGGCUUAACGUGCCUUCCGAAGCUCUGAAUCAUCUUACUUUCUCGGGCAAUCCGGUUAUUCAGUCCUUUUCAAAAUGAUUUCGACAAUGUCCCCAUCGGGAAUCGAAGCCGCACCAGAUCGCGAGCCCAACGCUCUAACCACUAGACCAUGGAGACUGUUAUGUCAAUUUUGUAGCAGUGUAUUUGAAAGAUCUACCUAUGACGUGAACAGUCAUGAGCAAUGUAAUGUACCCACUUUAGGACUCUGUCGCACUAACAUAUUUGCCAUUUAGUGAGACUUACAGUUCAAUUUGUCAAAAAAGUUAAUGUGACAUGGUACCAAAGUGUAUACAUAUUAAUGCUCGUGACCGAACAUGUAUUUUGAUUCAUAUUUCGCCGGCAAAAGGUUUUGUUUCGUGUAAGACGCGAGUGUGGAACGAUAUAGUUGUGUGCAUCGGUUGGUGCCACUGCAAAGUGGAUAAUAUAUAUAAAUAUAUAUACGAAUAAAUAAGUAAUUUUUGAAGCACU